UGGGCAUCUCAGGAAAGGGUGGCUGAAGGAGUAAAUGGAUGAACAAACAAGCAAAGGAACAAACGAGUGAUGACUCAUAACUCUUGGCAAAAGAAGCCAAAACCCCAGGCAGCCCAGAAGGUCUGCCUUUUCCUGGGAACAAGUGCCCACGUGUUCGAGCUCCCGUGUGCCAAGAGGCAGCACUGCGCUCCGCCUUUCCCACCCACCACCAUCCUCCCAGCAGCUCUCUGAAGCAGAUGCAGUAGUUCCCUCCCAUUCCACAGAGGAAGGGACCCAGACUUCAUGUGACUUCAGAUCCUGAUCUGCCCAAGCCAGCGUCUUGAUCCCCGCACCCAGGGAGAUGGGUCUGUGCCUUCACUGCCUCUGAACCCCUUGUUUCAUCAACAGGAUCCUUUCUGCACAUGUGGCACUGAGAGCCCCUUCCCAUAUGGACAGCGGCUGAACAGAAGUGACUGGGAGCUGCAUGGCCCCCUUAGGAGGACGGAAAGGUACCUGCUUUGGAAUGAGAUACAACUGGGUUUUAAUUCUGGCUCUUCCACUUACCAGCUUCGUAUUCUCGGCCAAGUCCCGUAACCUCUCUGAGUCUCUGUUUCCUCUUGUGUGAAACGAGGAUAAGACUAUCCACCUCUUGGGGCUGCUGUGAGGAUUAAAGUUCAGCCACGGGGAGUGUUUAAUACCGGGCUUGACCCACGGCUGCUGAUAAAUAAAGCAGUAACGGCAGCGUAUCCUUAGUUUGGAACAGUUUGUUUUUCCGUGCCCCUCAGUAAGGUAAGCAUGGCAUUUGACACCUUUUACAGAUGGGGAAACUGAGGCAUGCGGGGGUGAAGUGACAAGCCCGAGGUGCCACAGUUUACGAGGGGUAGAGCUGAGACUAGGCCGCCCUGCGCGCAGAUUGCCCUUUGUCUCGGUGCUCUGCACUGCCCUAUGCGGGAUGGGGGGAGGGUCUCUCUCUUGUCCACUUGGCCCAGUUGGGGAUGAGGACCCUGGUCUGGAAGCCCUGAGUGAUCACAUCGCCAGCUAAGGCAAAGGCACCAUGCUGGGGCCUUGACGGGGGAAGCAAGGCCAUAGGGCGUUUGCUGAGGUCAGUGUGACUGCUGCUCCCGCCUGUGUGGCGACAGUGAGGACACAGCACCAGAGCCAAGUGGUGAGUGAUGUUGGGUGAGCGGUCGGGGACACCGAGUGUGGUCGGAUCUGCAGGUGACAGUGGACUGAUCCUCUCUGCCCUGCGUCUGAGGGUCAGGAGAGGGGAGGUCUGGGUGAGACAGGCCUCAGAAUGCUGUGCCCCAGGCUCCUGGCCUCCUCCAAGGGGACACUGGAGUGGACCGUCGGAGGCCACGGGGAGGAGAGAGCGGUGGGCCAUGCAAAGCGGGCUGCACAGAGGCAAGCACGGGCCCCCGGCCCCAGCCCUAUGAGUUGUGCCACCGGGUUCCUUCCACAUAAGCCUUCUCGUGGGAGAGAGAAUGGGAUUCACCUGUUUUAAAAAGGUUGCGAUUUACCUGCAUGACUUUGCACGGGGCUCAUUGGAGCCCAGGGAAGUCAGGUGCACCGCCUGGGGGCCCCCGGUCUAAGCAGGGAGUGGGAGUCUGCAGCCACCCCGGGGUGCACAGCUCUGCCACUGACACGGCACUUUAUCUUCUGAUUGGUCUGAGAAAGGGUCUCAACUUGGCCCAGGCUGCGCUGCCAGUUAGGGUCACAGAUAGGACUUGGGGACUUCCUCGAGGGAUGACGUUCAGGCCCUGCCCCCUCAUUUCCCCAGAGCCUCUCGUUCUGACUUUUGGCUCUAUUUCCAGAUGAGGUUGUGCUUAGAGGUACGCAUGGGACAGGAAGGAGACAUCUGCCACAUCACUCUCGAUAAACUAUUUUCCAUACCUAUCGCUUCACUUUAAAUGCAUCCAGAGCCCCACAAGGUGGACCUGGCCUCAGCCUCUCGGGAGCUUCAAGGCUCUGGACGAGGCCGGGUAACUCAGACCCGCUCAGGAGUGGGGUGUCUGUCACCCGCCUGCCUUGUGACAACAAUGAUGCCCCUCAUCUCGCUUGUCACCCCCUUGGGGCCCCCCCAAGAUGUGGGGACCGGCAUUGAUUGAAGCCACAGCAAACUGGGCCGGCACUGCCUGUGAUGCAUGCCGAGAAACACACCCAGCUGCUUUCAAAGCGCCUUUCUCUCCUCUCCUUUCUAAUGAAAACCCUUGUGUAAUCUGUUAGUGCCGCGUCUACUGGAGCAUGAAUUAUUCAGAGAAGUCUCUGUUCCGUUAUCUCCCCUCCCAGGGGGACGCCCCUACCAUUGUCCGCCCUGACGGGUCAUUAUGCACUCUGUGAAUUUAAUCUUUUAGGCUAUCUGGCCACACAGAAAAAAUGUAUGAAUAACAAUUUUCCUGUAAUAACCUUCAACGAACCUUUCAACCAGAGUGAGUCAUUCCAAUCCCAUUUUCACAUCAAGAGGAGUCAAAGGCAUGCAGUUACCUCUCGUCUGUUUCAGGAGCUGCCCCACCUCUGCCGCACCCUUAAUUUUUAAAGGGGUGUUGAAGAGUGUUACGAGCCAGAGGAGGGUGUGGGGAGGGUUGGGUGGUAAGAGGCGGGUCUGGAGUCCUGACACUAAGUCUGGGCCAGAGGUCCCGAGCCUCAGCUUUUUCCUGUGGACAGGGGAACCGGACCACCACAUCCAGGUCCUAGGGCCACUGCAUCUGGCUCUCAUCGUCCAGCAGCCUGAUAUUUUUUUUUGCCCCAUUGAAGGCAGCACUAAUUCCUUCCUUUGCUCCUGCAUAAGGAAAAAUGUCCCCUCUGCCAAGAGAUUUCCCCAGAGCCCUUCCACAGAUGGCAAUUUCAGAUCAGUUUUAGCUGUUGGUGAGAGCUAUGGUGUCACCAUGCUGCUGACAUGAGAGAGGACGGGAGAGGGUGGGGCCGUGCACGCACCCAGGAGCCCUAACCUUCCCCCCCACCCCUGGCUUCCCACAGUGCAGCGAUCUGGAAGGAACCUGGAGUUUGGAGUCAGGUAACUGACUUUGAGAGUUGGCUCCUCCAGCUGUGUGACCUUGGGUCACAAAAAUGGCCAAGGAGGUGGUCCUGAAGUUCUGACAGUUUCCUCAGUGGGAGAUGGGCACUCUGGGCGAUCACACAGACAGCACGGAGAACCCCGGGGGCCUGUGUGAAUGACGGGGUCUGCGCAGAGAGAGCAAGGUGCCACGAGGGUGAGAAUAAGGGAGAGAGACGGAUCUAAUAGUGAUGCUCUGCUGCCCAUUUGACACACGAUCCUGGAGAACCUACUGAACGCCGGGCACCCAGGAGCGCCACCCAGAAGGCCGGCCUUAUGAUUGUAGCUGGUUCCCGGAGGAGGGGUGACAUAUCAACUCACCAGAUCAGUGUUUACUCGCCAGGAAUCCCGGGCAUUUUAGCACUGGAUGAUGAGCCCCUGAGGGCAGACGCAGGUGUUCCUCUGUUUGGAGCUCCACAUCUCCGAUCAGGCAUGGACCAAGAGAUGUGACAGUUGUAACAGCUCCGUGUGGAGCUGGGUUUGCAGGUCUCACGGCAGGCACCUCUGAGCCCCAGGUGAAGUGUACACUGCUCCCAAGCUCUUGUUUUCCCCGGUCCUGGAAGUUACCACAUGAGGAUGAAUAAGGAAGACUCAAAAUGUAGUGAAGGAGACCAGUCAUCUACCACCAUGGGAGCCCAGCUGAUUAUCUGUGAACAUAUGACUGAAGGACCUCUCCCCCCUGCAUGGCCGGGGCGUCCUUCAGAGAGAAUGACUGGGGAGGGGUUAAUGCCAGGGGGAAGCCUGGGCUACCAGAAGGGAAGAGCCGCACGGUACCUCUGAAGAGGGGGACUGGGGGAACACAUUGGUCUCCCAGCAUCCUGGGCACAUGGCACCUGGUGCGGGGGAAGACCUGUCCUUACAGGGAAGCUCAGGUCACAAAUAUUUAACUUGAUGACUGGAGCUCAUUGAUGGGCGCAUGAGGGCUCAUUAUACUACUCUGUCUAUUUUUGUGUAGAUGACAUUUGCCAAAAUAAAAAGUAAAGGAAAGAAGAAGAGAGAGAGAAGAAAGAAAGAAAGAAAGAUCAACGCAUGUCAUGCUUCCCAUACUACUUUCUGAUUACAAGCUGACUACCCCCCUUCCUGCUGGUAGAGGCGGCUCUGAUCCUGGCCACGUGGUUCUGGCUUACUUGGUGAUCGUUUUGCCCUUUGCAAAUUAAGAAUGUGGCAUUCAAGUUUGGAUGAGCACUGCCCCAAGUGUGGUAAGGGGAUCAGAGCCUACGUGUGAACUGUUUGUUACCAGAAUACAAGGUGAUCGAGGGUAAAUAAUUUAGAAACUUCUGUAGCCAAGGACUUUGCCCUACCGUCCAAGCUCAGGGUCAGUGGAUGGCUCUCGUGAACAGGGCUUGAGGGUAGUCAGAUUUGAGAGGUGAAUGUCAUGUGGUGUGAACUGGGGCUUGAUCACACACAGUAGGACCAAACAUCAGACCACGAUGGAGUGGAUUUUUUUUUCAAGUCGUAUCUCACAACAUAUGGCUUGAAUCCUUGGGACUUUCGACGGCGUCAGUCAGUCCUUUAGAAUCUAGUCGUGGAGAGCCCUAACGAACAAAUUUCUAGACCUGCAAGAAUAAGACCCCCUGCAAGGACCCUGGUUUGAAUUGCGGAUCUCCCUACGGGGGCCUGCCUGAUCCACCUGCCCAGCCUCCCUGCCGUACCCUCACCCAUCCUCACCCAGCUUGUCGAAAAGCAACAGAUGCAAAGAGCCUGCAAGGGCAGGACAGUUUCACGGGCUAAGCCAGAUCCCCGCUCUCCCUUUUCUCAAAUUAAAAUGGAGAUGUGCUUCAGCUGCCUCUCCCACAUCCCUCUUCCUGGGAGGACCUGGAGGGGUCCUCAGGAGGGGGACAGAGGGGCACUCAGGAGCCCCGCACAAGCUGUCGAGGCUGUUCUGGAAGUGGGUAAUCUCUGAAAGGGUGAUUUAGAGCUCAGCGUGGCAGGGCUGGAGGCAGCGAGGUAGCUGUUCCCCACGGCGCUCAUUAAGUUUCCAUAGAUUGCAUUUCCUGCCUCCCCUCGCUAGCCCUCCAAAGUGCCUGUUACUAAUUCAUAAAAACACUGCGAGCGUGAUCGAGUCCGCUGAUUACUGGAGCAGGCAGACACAAGAGACGGUAAAAUGUUCCGUGUCUCUCUAUCAGGCUCUCAGGGGCUCAGGAGGAAGAAAAAAUUAAAAAAGAGAAAAACAACAACAUGAAGAAAGGAAUAUGAAAAAAAAAAAAAAAAAACCUGUGUUGUGAAAUAUUAAUCAGAGCUGUUUGCCCCCGGGGGCCAAAAAUAUGAGGCGGCAUAAUCAAUGUAGCAAGAGCUGCCCAGCAACAUGUCUUUGAGAAGCUGAUUAUUGCGGGUAAACACAGCUAAAUAUUCUGAAUCUUUGGACUGUGCCUCUGGUGUUGCUUGAGAAUCCGAUUCCCUUAUCAUCCUUCUGCAGGUGUAGCCCCGGGGAGGAGCGUGGGAGGUGUUGGCGGGACAUGGCUUCCUGGGCAGGGAGUCACUUGGGCCCCAGUAGGAGCUGCUUCUGUUCCUUUCCAA
Molecule: long non-coding RNA, 5545 nt
Organism: Orcinus orca (killer whale)
Lineage: Eukaryota; Metazoa; Chordata; Mammalia; Artiodactyla; Delphinidae
Exons: 4
Source: RefSeq, a predicted model, not a curated record